AAAAACAUGUCUUUUUGUUAAUGAUUUAAGGUCGGGCCUGCCCUAUGAUUAUUAAAUGGCCGCAGUAUUUUGACUGUGCAAAGGUAGCAUAAUCAUUAGUUUCUUAAUUAGGAGCUGGAAUGAAAGGUUUGAUGAGAGACUAACUGUCUCUAAUUUAUUUAAUAUAAUUUUAUUUUUUAGUAAGAAAGCUUAAAUUUUAUAGAAAGACGAGAAGACCCUAUAGAGUUUUAUAUUAAUGUUGUUGUAUUUAGAGGGGUUUUUGUUUUAACAAUAAUUUUAAGUAUUUUGUUGGGGUGAUAUAAAAAUUUAAUUAACUUUUUAUUAUUUAAACGCUUAUGAGCGUUAUUUUGAUCCUUGUUUUUGGAUUAUAAGAUUAAAUUACCUUAGGGAUAACAGCGUUAUUUUUCCUGAAAGUUCUUAUUGAUGGGGAAGUUUGCGACCUCGAUGUUGGAUUAAAAUUUACUUUAGGU
RNAcentral lists this ribosomal RNA (470 nucleotides) under Graptopezus crenaticollis. Its description in RNAcentral is "partial 16S ribosomal RNA". It matches the Rfam family "Bacterial large subunit ribosomal RNA", at positions 1809 to 2554 of the family's 2925-position model. The record is from RNAcentral. Lineage: Eukaryota; Metazoa; Arthropoda; Insecta; Coleoptera; Tenebrionidae.